CAAACUUGAAGAACUUGACUGAAUUGAGGAUAACCGAUUUGCGUGGACCGGCCUCUUCUUUUCCAGACCUGAAAAAUAUGACGAACAUAGAACGAUUGGUACUAAGAAAUUGUUUGAUA
This is a non-coding RNA of Camelina sativa (false flax), 119 nucleotides long. Lineage: Eukaryota; Viridiplantae; Streptophyta; Magnoliopsida; Brassicales; Brassicaceae. The record is from RefSeq and is a predicted model, not a curated record.